Molecule: long non-coding RNA, 1624 nt
Organism: Aethalodelphis obliquidens (Pacific white-sided dolphin)
Lineage: Eukaryota; Metazoa; Chordata; Mammalia; Artiodactyla; Delphinidae
Exons: 3
Source: RefSeq, a predicted model, not a curated record
UCGCCGCUCGCCGCUCGCCGCCCGCCGCCGCCGCCGAGCGCCCGGGCCGCUCCGGGAGCCCACAAGGAGGGGGAGUGCGGCGCGGCCCGCAGCCACGUGCGCGAAAACCCGCGGCGGGGGCGCCUCGUGGAGGCCCGCGCGAGGGGGCUCCCAGCCCCGGGCUGCGUCUGCGUCCUCCCGCGAGACCCUGGACUCCACUCGGUCCGCGAUCAAGCUCCCUCGGCGGCGAGGCUCCCGCCAGCGCGGGACAGUUAGCGUCUCUUUCCCGCUACGCUGAGACUUCCUGCCUCCACCUGGAGCCCAAGGCCGGAGGGCCGUUACCAGAACUAGAGAUACGGGACCAACAAAUCGGUUUGGACUCCCCCCCACGCCCCCGAGUGACUCUUUCUGACGUGUCUCUGGCCCCUGAGGGUUGCUGUUAUUUGCUGUUUGUUUCUUACUUGCUUUGCAGAGUAAAGGGGAUCAUUACUCCCACCGACAGCGCCAGAGUAGCUGGUUUGCCCUGGCAUAAGCAGAAGAAAAGCUACUCACUCUGAGUGGCUAGGUGUUAAGUUGGAGAUUGUUCUGGGUGUGAAACUCCAGGAAACCUUUGGACUGCUAAGAACUACAGGUUGCACUUCCUGGGCACUUUAUUGCAGUUCUAGAAGCUGGAAGUCCAAGAUCCCUGCCUACUAGCUGCCUGGCAGGAAGAUGCAAGUUUCUCCCUGGUAUUUGUUAGCGAUCAAUAUGUUGACUUUUUGCCAUUCUCUGUGGCAUUUAUUUUAUAAGGGCUUAAUAAACUUUAUACUCUUUCAUCCACACAUUGCUCUUUAAUUUAUAGAUGACUUCUGAAAGAAUGAAUUCUAGGAGAAAUUAAAGAAAUAUUCAGAACACUUUAAAUGAGAAUAAAAGAACAUCUCUAAAAGCAUUUUCUGUACAAAUAAAAUGUUUCAUGUUCAUACAGAAUCUUAAGAUUCAUAAAGAGUCUUCAUGAUGUGCUUGUAUCAUAUCACAUAUUGUUUAGUGAGCCUUAGAUCUGCUUUAAGGCCUCUAUUGAAAAGAGUUAAGCAUAGAAGAAAGCCAAUCCAUUCCUUUUUUUCUUUAACAUCUUUAUUGGAGUAUAAUUGCUUUACAGUGGUGUGUUACACCAUUACAAUGGUGUGUUAGUUUAAUCCAUUACUUUCUGCUCUCCUAUUUAAGAGAGAAGUUUGGGUGGAGAAAUAGUCUUUUAGAAUAGUUACCUUUAGAAUAAGGUAGGUUGUAAACCAAUAAAAGAUAAUAUUCUGCAUUUACCAAAUAUAAAAUAUUCUCCCUGAUAUGAGCAUAUGUGUUAUCUUACAUUUUCACAAAAUUCUUGUUUUUAAAGCUUAGGCUUGUAUAUUUCCUUUCAUUCAGCAGCUCAUGUGUUAUCUCUGUAUUACUGUUUUAUAGAUAAGAAAACUGAGAUGCAUGCAGCUUUCAUCACUGGAAAAAAGUCUCCUGACUCACCCAAACAGUAUCCUUCCACAUCAGUUGCCUAUUCAGAGGGAAGAAUGAUGUCCAAGAAACCACAUUUUUAAUGAAAUUUAAACUUCUUUUUUUAAAAAUAUUUUUUAGGGCUUUUCUGGUGGCACAGUGGUUGAGAGUCCGCCUGUCAAUACAGGGG